AUGGCAAUAGCUUAGUGGUAGAGUCCCCGCUUCGCGUGCGGGGGAGACCCGGGUUCGAUUCCCGGUUGCUUUC
This is a transfer RNA of Toxocara canis (dog roundworm), 73 nucleotides long. It matches the Rfam family "tRNA". From Rfam's summary of the family: Transfer RNA (tRNA) molecules are approximately 80 nucleotides in length. Their secondary structure includes four short double-helical elements and three loops (D, anti-codon, and T loops). Further hydrogen bonds mediate the characteristic L-shaped molecular structure. tRNAs have two regions of fundamental functional importance: the anti-codon, which is responsible for specific mRNA codon recognition, and the 3' end, to which the tRNAs corresponding amino acid is attached (by aminoacyl-tRNA synthetases). tRNAs cope with the degeneracy of the genetic code in two manners: having more than one tRNA (with a specific anti-codon) for a particular amino acid; and 'wobble' base-pairing, i.e. permitting non-standard base-pairing at the 3rd anti-codon position. The record is from Rfam. Lineage: Eukaryota; Metazoa; Nematoda; Chromadorea; Rhabditida; Toxocaridae.